This 216-nucleotide ribosomal RNA is filed under the name Campeiostachys nutans. RNAcentral describes it as "Elymus nutans partial small subunit ribosomal RNA". The stretch from base 40 to 216 matches the Rfam family "Eukaryotic small subunit ribosomal RNA", at positions 686 to 864 of the family's 1831-position model. Lineage: Eukaryota; Viridiplantae; Streptophyta; Magnoliopsida; Poales; Poaceae. The record is from RNAcentral.
GGGUUAGUAGGUUGGUCAUGCCUCUGGUAUGUACUGACCUCACUGAUUCCUCCUUCCUGAUGAGCCGUAAUGCCAUUAAUUUGGUGUUGCGGGGAAUUUGGACUGUUACUUUGAAAAAAUUAGAGUGUUUAAAGCAGGCUAUUGCCUGAAUACAUUAGCAUGGAAUAAUGAAAUAGGACGUUCGAUCCUAUUUUGUUGGUUUCCAGGAUUGACGUA